RNAcentral lists this transfer RNA (69 nucleotides) under Gnetum pendulum. RNAcentral's name for it is "tRNA-Ile". It matches the Rfam family "tRNA". From Rfam's summary of the family: Transfer RNA (tRNA) molecules are approximately 80 nucleotides in length. Their secondary structure includes four short double-helical elements and three loops (D, anti-codon, and T loops). Lineage: Eukaryota; Viridiplantae; Streptophyta; Gnetopsida; Gnetales; Gnetaceae. The record is from RNAcentral.
GCAUCCAUGGCUGAAUGGUUAAAGCGCCCAACUCAUAAUUGGCGAACUCGCGGGUUCAAUUCCCUGCUG